GCGAAAGUGGCGGAACUGGUAGACGCGCGAGACUUAGGAUCUCGUGGGCGUGCCCGUGGGGGUUCGAGUCCCCCCUUUCGCA
RNAcentral lists this transfer RNA (82 nucleotides) under Gemmatimonadota bacterium. RNAcentral's name for it is "tRNA-Leu". It matches the Rfam family "tRNA". Rfam says of the family: Transfer RNA (tRNA) molecules are approximately 80 nucleotides in length. Their secondary structure includes four short double-helical elements and three loops (D, anti-codon, and T loops). RNAcentral also lists the same sequence under 2 other names. The record is from RNAcentral. Lineage: Bacteria; Pseudomonadati; Gemmatimonadota.